RNAcentral lists this ribosomal RNA (441 nucleotides) under uncultured bacterium. RNAcentral's name for it is "partial 16S ribosomal RNA". It matches the Rfam family "Bacterial small subunit ribosomal RNA", at positions 338 to 795 of the family's 1533-position model. The record is from RNAcentral.
CCUACGGGAGGCAGCAGUGGGGAAUAUUGCGCAAUGGACGCAAGCCUGAUGCAGCCAUGCCGCGUGUAUGAAGAAGGCCUUCGGGUUGUAAACUGCUUUCAGCAGGGAGGAAAAAAGUCAGUAUCAGACGUUUACGCAUUGGCGAACUACGUGCCAGCAGCCGCGGUAAUACGGAGGGAGCAAGCGUUAUCCGGACUUAUUGGGUGUAAGGGGUGCGUAGGCGGAGAAGGAAGUUCGUUGUGAAAUCCCUGGGCUUAACUGAGGAACUGCAACUGAAACUACUUACCUUGCGUACUGGAGAGGAAAGUAGAAUUCCUGGUGUAGCGGUGAAAUGCGUAGAUAUUAGGAGGAACACCAGUGGCGAAGGCGACUUUCUGGACAAAAACUGACGCUGAGGCACGAAAGUGUGGGGAGCAAACAGGAUUAGAUACCCGAGUAGUC